This 497-nucleotide ribosomal RNA is filed under the name uncultured bacterium. RNAcentral's name for it is "partial 16S ribosomal RNA". It matches the Rfam family "Bacterial small subunit ribosomal RNA", at positions 28 to 507 of the family's 1533-position model. The record is from RNAcentral.
GAUGAACGCUGGCGGCGUGCCUAAUACAUGCAAGUCGAGCGAACGGACGAGAAGCUUGCUUCUCUGAUGUUAGCGUCGGACGGGUGAGUAACACGUGGAUAACCUACCUAUAAGACUGGGAUAACUUCGUGAAACCGGUGCUAAUACCGGAUAAUAUUUUGAACCGCAUGGUUCAAAAGUUAAAGACGGUCUUGCUGUCACUUAUAGAUGGAUCCGCGCUGCAUUAGCUAGUUGGUAAGGUAACGGCUUACCAAGGCAACGAUGCAUAGCCGACCUGAGAGGGUGAUCGGCCACACUGGAACUGAGACACGGUCCAGACUCCUACGGGAGGCAGCAGUAGGGAAUAUUCCGCAAUGGGCGAAAGCCUGACGGAGCAACGCCGCGUGAGUGAUGAAGGUCUUCGGAUCGUAAAACUCUGUUAGUAGGGAAGAACAUAUGUGUAAGUAACUGUGCACAUAUUGACGGUACCUAAUCAGAAAGCCACGGCUAACUACGUG